AAAGGGAGACCUAAUUCAGGUAAAAGACGAAAAAAAAGUAGUCGCUACCAAGAAUCAAUCCCAAAAGGUCGGAGCGAGGCGAAAUUGGCUUUCAAACUAGGUUCUGGGUUCAAACAAGACCUGAAUCAGGAACAAGGGCUAUUAGCUCAGGUGGUUAGAGCGCACCCCUGAUAAGGGUGAGGUCCCUGGUUCGAGUCCAGGAUGGCCCACCUGCACAGGUGGCAAAAACAAGAGAAGCGAGGAAUCAGCACCUUAUCUUACUGACAUAGUAAGAGAGAAUGCUGGCUCUGAGUAAAGAGUCCAGAGGAACCCUGAAAACUGCAUAGAGCUAGGUGAAAAAGCCAAAAAAGAAGACCGCAAG
Molecule: transfer RNA, 361 nt
Filed under: uncultured Microcystis sp.
Lineage: Bacteria; Bacillati; Cyanobacteriota; Cyanophyceae; Chroococcales; Microcystaceae
Description: partial 16S-23S ribosomal RNA intergenic spacer
Rfam family: tRNA (bases 136-209)
Source: RNAcentral